This 918-nucleotide long non-coding RNA is filed under the name Homo sapiens (human). RNAcentral's name for it is "non-protein coding lnc-COMMD6-10:1". Lineage: Eukaryota; Metazoa; Chordata; Mammalia; Primates; Hominidae. The record is from RNAcentral.
UCUCCUUAAAAUAUGGUCUUGACUUGGUUUCCAGGGCACCAGGGUCUUGGUUCUCUCUCGCUCACUUUUCUGUAUCUCUGAUCUCUAGUGCUGGAGGGCCUCAGGAUUCAGUCCUUGUACAUCACCUCCACUCUAGUUACAGUCAGAUUCCAGGUGAUGUCCCCGCAAUUCUCAGCUGAAAUUCCUUCUACAUACUGAUGACUCUGUAUUUCCAGCCUGGGCCUCUCCCUUGCAUAGCCAGCUGCCUACUCAACACUGCUAUUGAGGUAUCUGAUAGAUUGCUCAACCUCACUAUGCUUAAAAACCAAAUCUCUGAUCACCCUACCCAAAUGUGCUUUACUCGUAACCGUCUCCAUUUCAGAAAAAGGCAAUUCCAUUUUUCCAGCUCCUCAGGCCAACAUUUCAGAUUCAUUUUUUACUCCGCCCUCUUUUGCGUCAUCCAAUCUUGAUCAAAUUCUACCAGCUUCACCUUCAGAACACACACACACUACAAUCUUCCCUCUCCUCACUACCUCCCCUACACCCAUCCUGUUGAAGCAUAUGUCAUCUUUUGCCUGGAUAAUUUCAAUAGGCUCCAAACUGGUCUCCCUGCUUUUGCCUGUCCUUCUGCAGUCUUGUUCAUACAGUAGUCUGUAGCAGUCCUUUUAACACAACAGUCAGUUUGUUUCAUUCCUCUUCUCAGAACUCUCCGGAGUCUUUCUCUUCCAUUCAGAAUAUAAGACCCCAUGUCCUGCAACCACUGCUGCUCUGUGCCCUCCACUUCCCCAUGGCUCCUAAACCCUCCACACUCACUCCACUCAACCACACUUGCUUCCUGGACACACCAAAUACUCUCCUGCGCCAAGCCUUGUCACUUGCUGCUCCCUGUGUCUGGAAUGCUUUUCCAUCAAGUCUCUGUUCCUUCAUUUCUUCAAGCUU